This 208-nucleotide ribosomal RNA is filed under the name uncultured bacterium. Its description in RNAcentral is "partial 16S ribosomal RNA". It matches the Rfam family "Bacterial small subunit ribosomal RNA", at positions 1292 to 1500 of the family's 1533-position model. The record is from RNAcentral.
UUCGGAUUGAAGGCUGAAAUUCGCCUUCAUGAAGUCGGAAUUGCUAGUAAUGGCAGGUCAGCAUACUGCCGUGAAUACGUUCCCGGGCCUUGUACACACCGCCCGUCACACCAUGAGAGUUGGAGAUACCCGAAGCCUAUGAGCUAACUUUUAGAGGCAGUAGUCGAAGGUAGAAUCAAUGAUUGGGGUGAAGUCGUAACAAGGUACC